CGGGGUGCAGCAGGCGCGAAACCUUUGCAAUACACGAAAGUGUGACAGGGCUAUCCCGAGUGCCAUCCGCUGAGGAAGGCUUUUACCCAGUCUAGAACGCUGGGGGAAUAAGGAGAGGGCAAGUCUGGUGUCAGCCGCCGCGGUAAUACCAGCUCUCCGAGUGGUGUGGAUGUUUAUUGGGCCUAAAGCAUCCGUAGCUGGCUAAGUAAGUCCCUUGUUAAAUCCACCGAAUUAAUCGUUGGAUCGCGGGGGAUACUGCUUGGCUAGGGGACGAGAGAGGCAGACGGUAUUUUCGGGGUAGGGGUGAAAUCCUAUAAUCCCGGGAAGACCACCAGUGGCGAAGGCUGUCUGCUAGAACGCGCCCGACGGUGAGGGAUGAAAGCUGGGGGAGCGAACCGGAUUAGAUACCCGGGUAGUCCCAGCUGUAAACGAUGCAGACUAGGUGUUUGGACGGCCACGUGCCGUUCUAGUGCCGCAGGGAAGCUGUUAAGUCUGCCGCCUGGGGAGUACGAUCGCAAGAUUGAAACUUAAAGGAAUUGGCGGGGGAGCAC
Molecule: ribosomal RNA, 551 nt
Filed under: uncultured archaeon
Lineage: Archaea
Description: bacterial SSU rRNA
Rfam family: Archaeal small subunit ribosomal RNA
Source: RNAcentral